AAGGCUUUAAGUUAAACUAAACUAAUAGCCUUCAAAGCUAUAAAUGAAAUUGAUUGUUUUAAGCCUUA
RNAcentral lists this transfer RNA (68 nucleotides) under Isophya major. RNAcentral's name for it is "tRNA-Trp". Lineage: Eukaryota; Metazoa; Arthropoda; Insecta; Orthoptera; Tettigoniidae. The record is from RNAcentral.